Molecule: unclassified non-coding RNA, 200 nt
Filed under: Trichomeriaceae sp.
Lineage: Eukaryota; Fungi; Ascomycota; Eurotiomycetes; Chaetothyriales; Trichomeriaceae
Description: partial internal transcribed spacer 2
Source: RNAcentral
UUAAGUUCAGCGGGUAUUCCUACCUGAUCCGAGGUCAACCUGAUAAAUAAUUUUAGAGGCGACCGGGUCCCUGGGCCCUUGAAACUCUACGCGUGCUCCGGAGAACUCAGUGCGAAGAGGGUCCCGGGGACGCCGUCAUUGUCUUUGAGACCAGUUGGCCAUAGGCGGUCCAACGCGGUCCAACACCAAACACGGGGUUU